GGGAAGUUGGCUCCGUGGUAGAGCGCUUGCCUUGUAAGCAUGAGGCCUUGGGUUCGAUUCCUCGGCAACACA
Molecule: non-coding RNA, 72 nt
Organism: Dipodomys ordii (Ord's kangaroo rat)
Lineage: Eukaryota; Metazoa; Chordata; Mammalia; Rodentia; Heteromyidae
Source: Rfam